RNAcentral lists this ribosomal RNA (377 nucleotides) under uncultured eukaryote. RNAcentral describes it as "partial 18S ribosomal RNA". It matches the Rfam family "Eukaryotic small subunit ribosomal RNA", at positions 592 to 976 of the family's 1831-position model. The record is from RNAcentral.
CAAUAGCGUAUAUUUAAGUUGCUGCAGUUAAAAAGCUCGUAGUUGGGUUUCGGGUGGGAAUGGCCGGUCCGCCGUUUCGGUGUGCACUUGCUACGCCCACCUUGCUGCCGGGGACGUGCUCUUGAGUUCACGCUCGGGACACGGAGUCGGCGAGGUUACUUUGAGUAAAUUAGAGUGUUCAAAGCAGGCCUACGCUCUGAAUACAUUAGCAUGGAAUAACACGAUAGGACUCUGGCCUAUCUUGUUGGUCUGUAGGACCGGAGUAAUGAUUAAGAGGGACAGUCGGGGGCAUUCGUAUUUCAUUGUCAGAGGUGAAAUUCUUGGAUUUAUGAAAGACGAACUACUGCGAAAGCAUUUGCCAAGGAUGUUUUCAUUAA